RNAcentral lists this long non-coding RNA (4669 nucleotides) under Sus scrofa (pig). RNAcentral's name for it is "lncRNA (ENSSSCG00000058080.1)". The record is from RNAcentral. Lineage: Eukaryota; Metazoa; Chordata; Mammalia; Artiodactyla; Suidae.
AUCAGCUCAUAAAUUUGUGUUGUUUCAGUCCAGAAAUUUUGCAGUAAUUUGUCAUGGCUGCAGUAGAAAAGGAGUCCCCUGAUCAACUGGAAUUCUAAAAUCCAGCUGGGCACAGGUUUCUGGUUCUUUGAGCAGGCCCUGGUUCUGCUCUGGUUAGAAGUCUCUGUGCUCUUUGCGUCACCUUCCAAGAUCUUUGGUUCUGUCCUCUGUUUUAGUCUUCCUUUUCCAUGGUCCACGUGAUAGCUGGGGAGACUAAAUCUGCUUUGGGGGAAAGCUCUGUGGAAUAUUGGUGGCACCGUGGCUCUUCUUCCUUGUCCCCUAAGCCAGUUAAGAAACUGUUAGUACAGUUUUCUUAAAAGUUUUGUGGGUUUUUCUAUGAAUCUUGUUGGGGGUUUACUCCAUGAGAUAAAAGCCACAUGCACAAGUCACUUCAAGAUGGGUCUCUCUGGAAUUGAUGGGGUGCUAUGAGACAAAGCCCAUAGCAUUUGUAGAAACCAGUUAGAAUAGUGGAGAGUUUGUGAAAUCUUAAAAAGAUUUAUAUCUACAUCUUUAAAAUAAUCUUUACCUCGAGUCUUUUUACUUUGAGGACCUCUAGCCUGGAGAUGUUGGGAAUGACUUUGGUGCUUUCUGGUGCUUUCUACAAGUUUUCUCUCUGAAUUAAACCAUAGCAAAUAUUCUUGUCUGCUCUUGCCUGCUAGCUCAUUACAAAUACAGUGCAAUGCAAUUGUUCUCACUUUUUAAAAUACCUCAAAAUCACUUAACAUCUCCAAUGAUACUGAGGCCUGGGUCUUCUCUGCAGAAAUCCAAAUUAAUUUGUCUGGGGUGUAGUCUGGACAGUAGGGGGUUUUAAAAGCUCCCCAGGUGAUUCUAAUAAGCAUCCAAGAUCGAGAACAACUGUGUUAAGCAAUAUUUUACUAUUUUUAGUCAAAGCAAAUUUUAAAACAUAUUUAUUUUGUCCUGUACUCCUAAACUCUUUUUUUCUGUAGGAAUUUCCUAACGGGUCAAAUGAGUGAUAAAGCAGUAUUUUUAGGUCUUUAUAUUUUAAUAAAUUAAUAAAUUCAGAGUAAAAAGCCCAUACAGUUGGCUCUUUAACUUUAUAAAAUCAUUGUGACACAAACCAGGAAUUUCAUAGCUAUCCUAAGAAUAGUGUGAAUAGAUGCUUUCAAUUAACUCUAUGGAAAUACUGUUUUAUUUCAUGGUUUUUAAAUCUAGUUUCUAUACUAGGCACUUUGUGAAUGGUGAUCAAUCCCUUAGUAAGCGGUUUAGAUAGAACUUUAUAUUUUAUAAGGACGAAAUAAUGUGAAUAGGAAGACAUCCCCUUACUGCCUGCAAAUUAAUGUAUCCACAGUUGCCCAUGUUGCUAUGUGUAGCUUUAAAUGUAGGAUAUUCUGGUUCAGUACACAAACUCUUUGUGAGCAAUGUCUUUUUAAAACUGAUUUUGGUUUGCGUUAGAAGAAGUGCUUUUCUUGUUCGGCAGCUGGGUAUGAAUUUAAUUAUUGAAAAUAAAUAUGAUCUAAUGUUUCAUUGAGCUUUCUGAAUAACAGGAUAAUUUGGUCAGCGCUGCUAUCUAAAGAGGCCUGGAAGAAAGCCAAAUCAGAAGAAGCAAAUGCUCUGGUGAGGAGGAAAUUAUCGGCAAAUUCAUGUGAUUUAUUCCAUUUAACAUAAAAUUAAAAGCGGGUGUAGCUUCGCUUGAUACUCUAAAUGCUUCUGUAUCGUGCAACUUGGUUACAGAGAAAUGUUAUAAAAGGGAAAUGGCUGCUGACAUGUGGUUUCACAACCAAAGCCACGGUCCCUGUGUAGGAAUUGCUGCCCACAGUGGCAGCUGGAUGUGAAGGUACAAGACUGGGAACAUUUGCAAUGUGAACAUGUUCUAGGCACAGAAAGUACUUAGGAGUGGAGAGAAACAAGGUCUGAAGUGCAGAGAAUGGAAGCCAGUUAUAUAUGAAACUUGGUGAGAAGCAUUGUCAAAUUUGAAAAAAAAAAAUCCAAAAGUUUACUCAAAAUGACAUAUUAGGUAUGAAAGGAAAUGAAACUUGGAAUAUAUUUGUAAUAAAAACUAAAAAUCUGCCAGCUAUGCUAAAAGAAAGAUUGAAUUACUUUUUUGUUCUCUCUGUAGAUAACAUGAGCUAAUUGUCAUAUAAAGAGAUAGUGAAUAUAUAGAAAAAAAAUGUAGAAAACAUCAUAAAAAUCUGUCAGAUAAGUCAGCUGUAAAAAAAUGAGUAAUUCGUUGUUAUUUAUUUUCUCAUUCUAAAUAAAUAUUCACUUUUGUGCCAAUUUAAAACAAAUUUUAAAAAUGUCUAAGUCUGCCUAUCACACAAAUGUGGGUCUGUCCCUGCUAUUCUCAACUGAAGCCAUUACCUUACGUAUAGAUGUCUCCUUAGCUCCUUCUGGAGCAUAACUUACUUCUUAUUCCUUCCAAUUUCUCUACUCCUGCCUUUAAACCUGCAUGUCUACUGAUGGCUGGAUCACCUCGGAGCUAAAUGUCUAGAUCUGUGCCACUUACUGCUUGGGUUUUGCAUCCCUAGCACAAAGCCCCCUUCCUUGUAAGGGCUAUUCAUACGCUAAUUUACCAAAGGCAGCUGUAUGUAUUUUAACGGAGUUGAUCUGGAGAGACCAGGCCUUAAACUUCUGUGGUUAUUAAUGUGGGAAUUGGGGGGCAAUGUGAACUGUUACAUAAAGGGAAUAGCACCGUGGAGACUUGUAAGUCAUAACGUUUUCGCUGCCUGUGUUUGUCUCUAUUUGAAAGCUAGUUUGUUGAGCUGGGAUUGAGUGAUCCAGAACAUUGAAAUGAGAACAUUCAGAAACUGAGGGAAGCAGGGGAUGGAGGAAGAGACUGAGGGAGAGGUGUUUUUUUUUUUUUUUUUUUUUUUUUUUUAAUUUUUCUUUGAAAGGAGAGGUUUUGAUUUGUAGAUUUGUAGUUGGGCAAAAUAAGUAUUAGCUCUGGGGCUGGUAAUGGGACACCUGAAAACAUCUUUGGACAUAGGAUAUAAGGCUUUCUUGCUGAUCCCAUUAGUUAACCUACGCAGUAGGUGAUUACUCCCCUGUAAUAUAAAGGUCAUUCUUAAUUUUUACUAAUUGAGGUAGCAGACUGGCUGAGUGAAUGAUGCCAGUUUCAUGAAUGAUCAAAUCACUUCAACUGUGGCUUAUAAAGCUUUUGAAAACUAUUGUAGCAGGUUUUUGAUGCAUAAAGGAAAGCAGAAACUACAAGUAAAAAUCUCCCAGGUGUUAGAAAAAUUUAAGGAAAUUUAAUUUCUAAUAUUGAAGGAGGAUGGAAAAAUAAAUGAAAGCUGUAUUGAUGUUUUAAACUUUAAGCAGAAAGAAGUUAUGUUAAUUCUGAGAUCUAAUUGUAUGAUCUGGCUCUAGGCAACUUUUAACUCGUGACUGAUAGGGAAUUGGGAGAAUAUAUUUUUUAUAAACUUUAUGCCAACCAAGUACAUGUGAUAUAAAUAAUAAAUGCAGAAUAAGCAAUUUUCAUUGUGGGAACUCACUGUUUUAGGAAACAGAUGGAACUUUGCAUUUGACUUGUGUAGACUAUCAGGAAACUUUGCUAGAGAAUAUGAUUUAAACAUUUCUUUACCAAGUCAUGAUAUUAAGUCACAUUGGUAAUGAGAUAGGUUGUCUCUGUGGAAGCCAUCUGGUGUGGGGGGUGAGAGUUCAGUAGGGCAAGGUUAUUGUUGCAAAAUUCCUGCAUUCAGUUGCUCUCCAGGUCCUUGUUAGCUGUGUGUCACAGUGCACGUAGGGACAAACUCCAACCUAGUUACUGAGCAAAUUCUAUAGGUCUUCAAAUUCGAAUUUUCCAUGUCCUAUUUUCUCAUGUCCCUCAUCUUCUUAUGAAAUUCUGUUUGGUAUGUUGCAAAAGUUUCUUUUUAUGUCAGCAUCUGUUCUUUGACCAUUUUUCAUCUGUGAAAUGGCAUUGUCACCUACCUACAUUGGUUAGGUGUGAUAGAGAGUUUUAUUUUGCAAGGCAUUUUCUUUUCUUUUUUUUUUUUUUAAUAAAUGUUAGUGGAGUAUAGGUGACUUACAAUGUUGUGUUAGUUUCAGGUGUCCAGCAAAGUGAAUUGGCCACACAUAUACAUAUAUAUCCAUUCUUUUUCAGAUUCUUUUCUCACAUAGGCUAUCAGAGAGUAUUGAAUAGAUUUCCCCGAGCUAUAUAGUAGCUGGGGAAAAAUACAAUAGUAAAAUCAAUCUGAUACUGAUCGAUUUUGUACACAGUGGUGUGUAUAUUUGCAAGGCAUUCUCAAACUUAUUUUUUCCUGAAGGGGCCCCAAAAUACACAAUUAACUCAUUUAUAAUCAGAUUAUCAUGGGAGGAACUUGAUUGUACAAAAUAAUAUGUGUAUCACUCAGGUGGUUUUUGACUUCAAAGGACAAAGACUGUCCCUAAUGAGCUUAGGCCAAAAAAGGGAAUGAACUGGUUCAGGAGCAGAGGAGGAGUUGAAAAUUCCAGGCCUUGGAGUUAUCAUCCUGGCUCAGUGGAAACAAAUCUGACUAGCAUCCAUGAAGAUGCAGUUUUGAUCCCUGGCCUUGCUCAGUGGGUUAAGGAUCCAGCAUUGCUGUGAGCUGUGGUAUAGGUAAAAGAUGUGGCUUGGAUCUGGCAUUGCUGUGGCUGUGGUAUAGGCCAGCAGCUACAGCUCCAAUUCUAUCCCUACCCUGGGUAUUUCCAUAUGCCA